This 397-nucleotide ribosomal RNA is filed under the name uncultured bacterium. Its description in RNAcentral is "partial 16S ribosomal RNA". It matches the Rfam family "Bacterial small subunit ribosomal RNA", at positions 523 to 918 of the family's 1533-position model. The record is from RNAcentral.
AUACGUAGGGGGCGAGCGUUGUCCGGAAUGAUUGGGCGUAAAGGGCGCGUAGGCGGCCCGGUAAGUCUGGAGUGAAAGUCCUGUUUUUAAGAUGGGAAUUGCUUUGGAUACUGUCGGGCUUGAGUGCAGGAGAGGUAAGUGGAAUUCCCAGUGUAGCGGUGAAAUGCGUAGAGAUUGGGAGGAACACCAGUGGCGAAGGCGACUUACUGGACUGUAACUGACGCUGAGGCGCGAAAGUGGGGGGAGCAAACAGGAUUAGAUACCCUGGUAGUCCACACCGUAAACGAUGAAUGCUAGGUGUAGGGGGUAUCGACCCCUUCUGUGCCGCAGUCAACACAAUAAGCAUUCCGCCUGGGGAGUACGGCCGCAAGGUUGAAACUCAAAUGAAUUGACGGGG